CCUACGGGAGGCAGCAGUAGGGAAUCUUUCACAAUGGGCGAAAGCCUGAUGGAGCAACGCCGCGUGCAGGAUGAAGGCCUUCGGGUUGUAAACUGCUUUUAUAAGCGAGAAAUAUGAUGGUAACUUAUGAAUAAGGAUCGGCUAACUACGUGCCAGCAGCCGCGGUCAUACGUAGGAUCCGAGCAUUAUCCGGAGUGACUGGGUGUAAAGAGUUGCGUAGGUGGCUUAAUGAGUAGCUAGUGGAAUCUGGUGGCGCAAACAUUCAGACUAUUAGCUAAACUGUUAAGCUCGAGACCGUUAGGGGUAACUGGAAUGUCUAGUGUAGGAGUGAAAUCCGUAGAUAUUAGAAGGAACACCAAUAGCGUAGGCAGGUUGCUGGGACGGUUCUGACACUAAGGCACGAAAGCGUAGGGAGCAAACGGGAUUAGAUACCCUUGUAGUC
Molecule: ribosomal RNA, 442 nt
Filed under: uncultured bacterium
Lineage: Bacteria
Description: partial 16S ribosomal RNA
Rfam family: Bacterial small subunit ribosomal RNA
Source: RNAcentral